RNAcentral lists this ribosomal RNA (427 nucleotides) under uncultured bacterium. RNAcentral describes it as "bacterial SSU rRNA". It matches the Rfam family "Bacterial small subunit ribosomal RNA", at positions 355 to 774 of the family's 1533-position model. The record is from RNAcentral.
UGGGGAAUAUUGGACAAUGGGCGCAAGCCUGAUCCAGCCAUUCCGCGUGAAGGAUGAAGGCCUUCGGGUUGUAAACUGCUAUUGUACGGAACGAAAAGCCCUUCUCUAAUCCAGAGGGGUCAUGACGGUAACGUAAGAAUAACCACCGGCUAACUACGUGCCAGCAGCCGCGGUAAUACGUAGGGUGCAAGCGUUAAUCGGAAUUACUGGGCGUAAAGCGUGCGUAGGCGGUUUUGUAAGUCAGAGGUGAAAUCCCCGGGCUCAACCUGGGAACUGCCUUUGUGACUGCAAGGCUGGAGUGCAGCAGAGGGGGAUGGAAUUCCGCGUGUAGCAGUGAAAUGCGUAGAUAUGCGGAGGAACACCGGUGGCGAAGGCAAUCCCAUGGGCUUGCACUGACGCUCAUGCACGAAAGCGUGGGGAGCAAACA